GGCCAGGUAGCUCAGUUGGUACGAGCAUCCGCCUGAAAAGCGGAGGGUCGCCGGUUCGACCCCGGCCCUGGCCACCC
Molecule: transfer RNA, 77 nt
Filed under: Aeromicrobium sp. A1-2
Lineage: Bacteria; Bacillati; Actinomycetota; Actinomycetes; Propionibacteriales; Nocardioidaceae
Description: tRNA-Phe
Rfam family: tRNA
About the family: Transfer RNA (tRNA) molecules are approximately 80 nucleotides in length. Their secondary structure includes four short double-helical elements and three loops (D, anti-codon, and T loops). Further hydrogen bonds mediate the characteristic L-shaped molecular structure. tRNAs have two regions of fundamental functional importance: the anti-codon, which is responsible for specific mRNA codon recognition, and the 3' end, to which the tRNAs corresponding amino acid is attached (by aminoacyl-tRNA synthetases). tRNAs cope with the degeneracy of the genetic code in two manners: having more than one tRNA (with a specific anti-codon) for a particular amino acid; and 'wobble' base-pairing, i.e. permitting non-standard base-pairing at the 3rd anti-codon position.
Source: RNAcentral